RNAcentral lists this unclassified non-coding RNA (215 nucleotides) under air metagenome. RNAcentral describes it as "partial contains small subunit ribosomal RNA, internal transcribed spacer 1, and 5.8S ribosomal RNA". The stretch from base 1 to 46 matches the Rfam family "Eukaryotic small subunit ribosomal RNA", at positions 1786 to 1831 of the family's 1831-position model. The record is from RNAcentral.
AAGUCGUAACAAGGUUUCCGUAGGUGAACCUGCGGAAGGAUCAUUACAGUUGGGGCCCCGCCCCGAUCAAGAUACCACCCCUUGCAUUUUGAGUACCUCUGUUUCCUCGGCGGGCCCGCCCGCCAACGGGGACCACAAAGAAACCUCGUGCAGUUGCAGUAAACGUCAAAACAAACAAAAAAUCAAAACUUUCAACAACGGAUCUCUUGGUUCUG